Molecule: ribosomal RNA, 492 nt
Filed under: uncultured bacterium
Lineage: Bacteria
Description: partial 16S ribosomal RNA
Rfam family: Bacterial small subunit ribosomal RNA
Source: RNAcentral
AGUGAACGCUGGCGGUAGGCCUAACACAUGCAAGUCGAACGGCAGCACAGUGAGAGCUUGCUCUUACGGGUGGCGAGUGGCGGGCGGGUGAGGAAUAUAUCGGAAUCUACUUUUUCGUGGGGGAUAACGUAGGGAAACUUACGCUAAUACCGCAUACGACCUACGGGUGAAAGCAGGGGAUCUUCGGACCUUGCGCGAUUGAAUGAGCGGAUGUCGGAUUAGCUAGUUGGCGGGGUAAAGGCCCACCAAGGCGACGAUCCGUAGCUGGUCUGAGAGGAUGAUAAGCCACACUGGAACUGAGACACGGUCCAGACUCCUACGGGAGGCAGCAGUGGGGAAUAUUGGACAAUGGGCGCAAGCCUGAUCCAGCCAUACCGCGUGGGUGAAGAAGGCCUUCGGGUUGUAAAGCCCUUUUGUUGGGAAAGAAAAGCAGCAGGUUAAUACCCCGCUGUUCUGACGGUACCCAAAGAAUAAGCACCGGCUAACUUCGUG